UACGUAGGGUGCAAGCGUUGUCCGGAAUUAUUGGGCGUAAAGAGCUCGUAGGCGGUUUGUCACGUCGGAUGUGAAACCCUGAGGCUCAACCUCAGGCCUGCAUUCGAUACGGGCAGACUAGAAUUCGGCAGGGGAGACUGGAAUUCCUGGUGUAGCGGUGAAAUGCGUAGAUAUCGUAAGGAAGACCAGUGGCGAAGGCGGGUCUCUGGACAGUUCCUGACGCUGAGGCACGAAGGCCAGGGGAGCAAACGGG
This 253-nucleotide ribosomal RNA is filed under the name uncultured bacterium. Its description in RNAcentral is "partial 16S ribosomal RNA". It matches the Rfam family "Bacterial small subunit ribosomal RNA", at positions 524 to 776 of the family's 1533-position model. The record is from RNAcentral.